This is an RNA transcript of Hordeum vulgare subsp. vulgare (domesticated barley), 1905 nucleotides long. RefSeq lists it as uncharacterized. The record is from RefSeq and is a predicted model, not a curated record. The transcript is spliced from 3 exons. Lineage: Eukaryota; Viridiplantae; Streptophyta; Magnoliopsida; Poales; Poaceae.
UCAGAUCCCCGCCACCAGCCAGCUCGAUACCAGCCAACCACCAACAUCCGACGCUGCCCCUUGUUUUCUGUGCCUGGCUGGCCCACAGCCUCCGCAACGCGUUCCUACCUGUCCUCCUGGAUGCGUCCGUCGCACGUAGGGAGCCCGAGGCUCCCCGUGCGCAUGCCCGUAGUGCCCUGCAGCCCGAGGCCGCACCCUCUUCUGCUGUUGUCUACCUUGUCGACCCCAGCUUCGCCCCGCCUCCACCGGCCGGCGAGCCACAAGAGCUCGCCCAACCGUCGCACCCUCAAGUUGUCCUUGCUGCUAGCAACCGCAGGUCGACCCGAGUCCCUUCCCUCUCCUUCCUCCUUCCUCCUCUCUCCCCUCUCCCUACUUCUCUCAUUCUCUCUCUGUAACUCGAAGCAACAGAAGCUCCCCCCAUGGCCGCAUGAGCAGCAAGCUUUGCCACUUGCCGUCAUUCUUUGCCACAUCCAGCCCCCUCCGCGAUGGAUCCACCUGUUCCCGCAACCCAAGCUCCAUCCAGCCAUCUCCUCGCCUCGGUGGAGCUGCCUCUUAUCGCGUCGCCCCUGCAACGAGCGAGGAGCUCGCCUGCCUGUGUCAACCUCCCGAGAGGCCCUGUCCAUAGACCAGUUCGGGUCAGACGUGGGCCAGCCUCAUCACGGCCCAACGGCGUCCGAAGGCCAAGUGGAGCCCAGGCCCAGCCGCGUCUUCGCCUGGCCUGCCUAUGCCCCACCUCAGCCCAUCAACGAACGGAGUCCGAGCGGCCUCCUCUCCGACUGGGCGAGGCCCAGCAAGAGUUCCGAACCGCUUCGGGUGUGAGGAUUCGUUCGACUACGUCGGUUCGUCUACUUCACAGAUUCGUUCUUCUUCCAAGCGUGGUCACGGGCAAGAUAAUCAUUUACCUAGAUCUAUUCCGGUCGAAAGAUAUGUAUUGGCGUUUGUUCCGUCGCCCUCAACAAUUAGUCGAGCUAUCAACGUCCAAUUUUGAUCGGGGAACACACGCGCCUGAGCUGUCACCCCUGCGACCUGAUCUAUAUCAAAUAUGUCACAAGAUUUUCUGAUGUUCAUCCGUCAAAAAUAUGAGGUGCUAUCCGUCUUCUUUAUUUUAUCAGUAUAAUUUUUAUUUUUGAGAAUAAUUACUUUGUGUGUAAUAUUUUUCUGUGCAGAACAAAGUGUUCAUUACGAAGGUGAUGUAAUAUUGAGAAUAUGAAGCUCACGCCAAUAUUAUCACGCGUGAGCAUCCGUCCACGCCACAUCUUUCAACAAAAGUGUGCAAGCCUCCGCCCCCGCGCUACGAUCUACACCAACCCGACGCACAUGACGGGCUUACAAUAACACGGCCAACUCUUACGACCGCGCGACCAAGAUGACUUACAAUGAUGCGGCCAAAUCUCACGUCCGCGCGACCAAGACGGCUUAAAAUGACGCGGCCGACUCUCACGUCCGCGCUACCAACACGACAACUCUCAUGUCUGUGCGACCAAGACAGCUUACAAUGUCGUGACUGAUUCUCGCGUCCGUGCCAAAUCGCCGGACAACUCUCACAUUCAACUCAACAUAUCGGUGCAGUGCUGGCCUAUGCGAGCCACCCAACAGACACGCGCAAGCCGCCGCCCGUGCAGUCCAGUCUACAUCAACAUAUCGGUGUAGUGCUCACCUAUAUGAGCCGCCUAGCAGACGGGCGCAAGCCACCGUCCCCACGGUCCGUUCUCCAUCAACAUAUCGGUGCAGUGCUCGCCUAUACGAGUCGCCCAACGGACACAUGCAAGCCGCCUCUGUGGCCCAUCUCCCGCAACAACACUGGAGCAAAGGAAGCAUGACAUUCAUGUCUUACACAAUGUCACCAAAACAUAGGACCAGCUCCCGCUCGCACCGGGUUGCUCAAUGGAUAGACACAUUCCCCAA